RNA transcript from Belonocnema kinseyi, 851 nucleotides. It is a transcript of the gene named coiled-coil-helix-coiled-coil-helix domain-containing protein 2-like, with no coding region annotated. The record is from RefSeq and is a predicted model, not a curated record. The transcript has 5 exons. NCBI's taxonomy places the organism in Eukaryota, Metazoa, Arthropoda, Insecta, Hymenoptera, Cynipidae.
CAGGCCGGAAAAAACUCCUAAUUUUGGUCAAAAUUACACUGUUUCAUCAUUUUUGACUUCGACUUUAAAAUUACAGAUUUAAGUGAAAAUUAAAUUUUCGGUAAAAAUAUAUUUUUUUAAAUGUCCAGUCGUAAAGGAUCGACGGGUCGAUCAUCAAAAGCAGGUAGAAGUUUCAGAAGUAGAAGUCCGCCUCCAGCGCCUCCACAGAAACAACAGCGAGGGCAUGAUGUAGUGAUCGUACAGCCUCAAAAAUCGCCAGGACUUUUCGGAACAUUCGCAGGAACGGCAGCUGGAGUAGCUGCGGGAACAGUAAUUGGAGAUAAAAUAACGGGUCGAAACGAUCCACCUCAAACUCCAGCAGCUAGUGAAGAAUCUCAUGGUCCUUGUAAAUAUGAAGAAGAACAACUAGUUACUUGUACAUUGAACCAGAAUGAAUUACAAUUCUGUGAGCCCUGGAAAAACGCAUUAUUGGACUGCAGACGAAAAAACAGCAUGUAAUAAAAAAUGAAGAGAGAGACCAAGGCAACUUAAACCCGAAUUAAAUUAAAGUAAAUUGGAGAGUUAUAAAUUUGCGGUGAAGAUGCGAAAUAAAAAAAUUCUUGGUGUACUAGUCUUAUUAUUUCGGAUUAAAAAAUAAAUGACUGAUUACUAAAUGGGGUUGUUGCAUAUUUUAAAAAAUAUUUUGUUCCGGUGAAAUAAAUAGUGCACUAAAGAUUGAAUAUAUUUACUUGAGGAAAGCUUUUUAAAAUUCUUCAGUACCGUUAAACCAUCAGAAUCCUCGAAACCCAUAAAAAAAUCGGAAUCUAAGCCUACAAACGAGUCCAUGAAAAUUUCAAAUGAAAAUAAAGAGC